CAAUUCCUUCCCAGGAGGGAGCCACUGUUUCCACAGAGGGUUCCUGCCAGGGGCGUUGGCACCGGGCGCCGCCUAGGCGGCCGGAGCCCAAAUGCAGCGGCGGACGCGCAGGCGGCCCCUAGCGUAGUAGAAAACAAACUUUUUUGUUCUCGCUCAGGAGGCUCGCAGCGGCGGACUACAGCCCUACGCAAAGCUUUUUGCAACCAAA
Molecule: unclassified non-coding RNA, 208 nt
Filed under: uncultured Ascomycota
Lineage: Eukaryota; Fungi; Ascomycota
Description: sequence contains ITS2
Source: RNAcentral